RNAcentral lists this transfer RNA (82 nucleotides) under Chloroflexota bacterium. RNAcentral's name for it is "Chloroflexi bacterium (hot springs metagenome) tRNA-Leu". It matches the Rfam family "tRNA". Rfam says of the family: Transfer RNA (tRNA) molecules are approximately 80 nucleotides in length. Lineage: Bacteria; Bacillati; Chloroflexota. The record is from RNAcentral.
GCCCUGGUGGCGGAAUCGGCAGACGCGCACGCUUGAGGGGUGUGUCCUUUCGGGGGUGGAGGUUCAAAUCCUCUCCAGGGCA